RNAcentral lists this ribosomal RNA (501 nucleotides) under uncultured bacterium. RNAcentral describes it as "partial 16S ribosomal RNA". It matches the Rfam family "Bacterial small subunit ribosomal RNA", at positions 28 to 523 of the family's 1533-position model. The record is from RNAcentral.
GAUGAACGCUGGCGGCGUGCCUUACACAUGCAAGUCGAACGGCAGCACGGGUGCUUGCACCUGGUGGCGAGUGGCGAACGGGUGAGUAAUACAUCGGAACGUACCUUAUCGUGGGGGAUAACGCAGCGAAAGCUGUGCUAAUACCGCAUACGCCCUGAGGGGGAAAGCGGGGGAUCGCAAGACCUCGCGCGAUUAGAGCGGCCGAUGCCUGAUUAGCUUGUUGGUGGGGUAAAAGCCCACCAAGGCGACGAUCAGUAGCUGGUCUGAGAGGACGAUCAGCCACACUGGGAAUGAGACACGGCCCAGACUCCUACGGGAGGCAGCAGUGGGGAAUUUUGGACAAUGGGGGCAACCCUGAUCCAGCAAUGGCGCGUGGGUGAAGAAGGCCUUCGGGUUGUAAAGCUCUUUUGUCAGGGAAGAAACACCGGCUCUAACACAGUCCGGGAAUGACGGUACCUGAAGAAUAAGCACCGGCUAACUACGUGCCAGCAGCCGCAGUAA